This 394-nucleotide ribosomal RNA is filed under the name uncultured bacterium. RNAcentral's name for it is "bacterial SSU rRNA". It matches the Rfam family "Bacterial small subunit ribosomal RNA", at positions 28 to 416 of the family's 1533-position model. The record is from RNAcentral.
GACGAACGCUGGCGGCGUGCUUAACACAUGCAAGUGGAGCGACGAACCAGGCUUCGGCCUGGGGCAGAGCCGCGAACGGGUGAGUAACACGUGGGUAACCUGCCUCGAUGACCGGGACAACCCGGGGAAACCCGGGCUAAUACCGGAUGUGCUGCCUUCACAUCAGUGGAGACAGGAAAGGAAGCUUCGGCCUCCGCAUCGAGAUGGGCCCGCGGCCCAUUAGCUUGUUGGUGAGGAAUGGCUCACCAAGGCCGCGAUGGGUAGCUGGUCUGAGAGGACGAUCAGCCACACUGGGACUGAGACACGGCCCAGACUCCUACGGGAGGCAGCAGUGGGGAAUCUUGCGCAAUGCGCGAAAGCGUGACGCAGCAACGCCGCGUGGGGGAAGAAGGCC